RNAcentral lists this ribosomal RNA (2900 nucleotides) under Klebsiella pneumoniae. RNAcentral describes it as "bacterial LSU rRNA". It matches the Rfam family "Bacterial large subunit ribosomal RNA". Lineage: Bacteria; Pseudomonadati; Pseudomonadota; Gammaproteobacteria; Enterobacterales; Enterobacteriaceae. The record is from RNAcentral. RNAcentral also lists the same sequence under 1 other name.
UUAAGCGACUAAGCGUACACGGUGGAUGCCCUGGCAGUCAGAGGCGAUGAAGGACGUGCUAAUCUGCGAAAAGCGUCGGUAAGGUGAUAUGAACCGUUAUAACCGGCGAUGUCCGAAUGGGGAAACCCAGUGCAAUUCGUUGCACUAUCGUUAACUGAAUACAUAGGUUAACGAGGCGAACCGGGGGAACUGAAACAUCUAAGUACCCCGAGGAAAAGAAAUCAACCGAGAUUCCCCCAGUAGCGGCGAGCGAACGGGGAGCAGCCCAGAGUCUGAAUCAGCUUGUGUGUUAGUGGAACGGUCUGGAAAGUCCGACGGUACAGGGUGAUAGUCCCGUACACCAAAAUGCACAGGUUGUGAACUCGAAGAGUAGGGCGGGACACGUGGUAUCCUGUCUGAAUAUGGGGGGACCAUCCUCCAAGGCUAAAUACUCCUGACUGACCGAUAGUGAACCAGUACCGUGAGGGAAAGGCGAAAAGAACCCCGGCGAGGGGAGUGAAAAAGAACCUGAAACCGUGUACGUACAAGCAGUGGGAGCACCUUCGGGUGUGACUGCGUACCUUUUGUAUAAUGGGUCAGCGACUUAUAUUCUGUAGCAAGGUUAACCGUAUAGGGGAGCCGCAGGGAAACCGAGUCUUAACUGGGCGUUAAGUUGCAGGGUAUAGACCCGAAACCCGGUGAUCUAGCCAUGGGCAGGUUGAAGGUUGGGUAACACUAACUGGAGGACCGAACCGACUAAUGUUGAAAAAUUAGCGGAUGACUUGUGGCUGGGGGUGAAAGGCCAAUCAAACCGGGAGAUAGCUGGUUCUCCCCGAAAGCUAUUUAGGUAGCGCCUCGUGAACUCAUCUUCGGGGGUAGAGCACUGUUUCGGCUAGGGGGUCAUCCCGACUUACCAACCCGAUGCAAACUACGAAUACCGAAGAAUGUUAUCACGGGAGACACACGGCGGGUGCUAACGUCCGUCGUGAAGAGGGAAACAACCCAGACCGCCAGCUAAGGUCCCAAAGUCAUGGUUAAGUGGGAAACGAUGUGGGAAGGCACAGACAGCCAGGAUGUUGGCUUAGAAGCAGCCAUCAUUUAAAGAAAGCGUAAUAGCUCACUGGUCGAGUCGGCCUGCGCGGAAGAUGUAACGGGGCUAAACCAUGCACCGAAGCUGCGGCAGCGACACUAUGUGUUGUUGGGUAGGGGAGCGUUCUGUAAGCCUGCGAAGGUGUGCUGUGAGGCAUGCUGGAGGUAUCAGAAGUGCGAAUGCUGACAUAAGUAACGAUAAAGCGGGUGAAAAGCCCGCUCGCCGGAAGACCAAGGGUUCCUGUCCAACGUUAAUCGGGGCAGGGUGAGUCGACCCCUAAGGCGAGGCCGAAAGGCGUAGUCGAUGGGAAACAGGUUAAUAUUCCUGUACUUGGUGUUACUGCGAAGGGGGGACGGAGAAGGCUAUGUUAGCCGGGCGACGGUUGUCCCGGUUUAAGCAUGUAGGCUGGUUGUCCAGGCAAAUCCGGAUAAUCAAGGCUGAGGUGUGAUGACGAGGCACUACGGUGCUGAAGUAACAAAUGCCCUGCUUCCAGGAAAAGCCUCUAAGCAUCAGGUAACAUCAAAUCGUACCCCAAACCGACACAGGUGGUCAGGUAGAGAAUACCAAGGCGCUUGAGAGAACUCGGGUGAAGGAACUAGGCAAAAUGGUGCCGUAACUUCGGGAGAAGGCACGCUGGUGUGUAGGUGAAGUCCCUGCGGAUGGAGCUGAGACCAGUCGAAGAUACCAGCUGGCUGCAACUGUUUAUUAAAAACACAGCACUGUGCAAACACGAAAGUGGACGUAUACGGUGUGACGCCUGCCCGGUGCCGGAAGGUUAAUUGAUGGGGUUAUCCGUAAGGAGAAGCUCUUGAUCGAAGCCCCGGUAAACGGCGGCCGUAACUAUAACGGUCCUAAGGUAGCGAAAUUCCUUGUCGGGUAAGUUCCGACCUGCACGAAUGGCGUAAUGAUGGCCAGGCUGUCUCCACCCGAGACUCAGUGAAAUUGAACUCGCUGUGAAGAUGCAGUGUACCCGCGGCAAGACGGAAAGACCCCGUGAACCUUUACUAUAGCUUGACACUGAACAUUGAGCCUUGAUGUGUAGGAUAGGUGGGAGGCUUUGAAGCGUGGACGCCAGUCUGCGUGGAGCCAACCUUGAAAUACCACCCUUUAAUGUUUGAUGUUCUAACGUUGGCCCCUUACCGGGGUUGCGGACAGUGUCUGGUGGGUAGUUUGACUGGGGCGGUCUCCUCCCAAAGCGUAACGGAGGAGCACGAAGGUUAGCUAAUCCUGGUCGGACAUCAGGAGGUUAGUGCAAUGGCAUAAGCUAGCUUGACUGCGAGCGUGACGGCGCGAGCAGGUGCGAAAGCAGGUCAUAGUGAUCCGGUGGUUCUGAAUGGAAGGGCCAUCGCUCAACGGAUAAAAGGUACUCCGGGGAUAACAGGCUGAUACCGCCCAAGAGUUCAUAUCGACGGCGGUGUUUGGCACCUCGAUGUCGGCUCAUCACAUCCUGGGGCUGAAGUAGGUCCCAAGGGUAUGGCUGUUCGCCAUUUAAAGUGGUACGCGAGCUGGGUUUAGAACGUCGUGAGACAGUUCGGUCCCUAUCUGCCGUGGGCGCUGGAGAAUUGAGGGGGGCUGCUCCUAGUACGAGAGGACCGGAGUGGACGCAUCACUGGUGUUCGGGUUGUCAUGCCAAUGGCACUGCCCGGUAGCUAAAUGCGGAAGAGAUAAGUGCUGAAAGCAUCUAAGCACGAAACUUGCCCCGAGAUGAGUUCUCCCUGAGACUUUAAGUCUCCUGAAGGAACGUUGAAGACGACGACGUUGAUAGGCCGGGUGUGUAAGCGCAGCGAUGCGUUGAGCUAACCGGUACUAAUGAACCGUGAGGCUUAACCUU